Molecule: ribosomal RNA, 301 nt
Filed under: uncultured bacterium
Lineage: Bacteria
Description: partial 16S ribosomal RNA
Rfam family: Bacterial small subunit ribosomal RNA
Source: RNAcentral
CAGCAGCCGCGGUAAUACGUAGGUGGCAAGCGUUGUCCGGAAUUAUUGGGCGUAAAGGGCUCGCAGGCGGUUUCUUAAGUCUGAUGUGAAAGCCCCAGGCUCAACCGGGGAGGGUCAUUGGAAACUGGGAAACUUGAGUGCAGAAGAGGAGAGUGGAAUUCCACGUGUAGCGGUGAAAUGCGUAGAGAUGUGGAGGAACACCAGUGGCGAAGGCGACUCUCUGGUCUGUAACUGACGCUGAGGAGCGAAAGCGUGGGGAGCGAACAGGAUUAGAUACCCCCGUAGUCCCUGUCUCUUAUAA